GAUGAACGCUGACCGAAUGCUUAACACAUGCAAGUCAACUUGAAUUUGGGUUUUUAACUUAGGUUUGGGUGGCGGACGGGUGAGUAACGCGUAAAGAACUUGCCUCACAGCUAGGGACAACAUUUGGAAACGAAUGCUAAUACCUAAUAUUAUGAUAAUAGGGCAUCCUAUAAUUAUGAAAGCUAUAAGCGCUGUAAGAGAGCUUUGCGUCCCAUUAGCUAGUUGGAGAGGUAACGGCUCACCAAGGCGAUGAUGGGUAGCCGGCCUGAGAGGGUGAUCGGCCACAAGGGGACUGAGACACGGCCCUUACUCCUACGGGAGGCAGCAGUGGGGAAUAUUGGACAAUGGACCGAGAGUCUGAUCCAGCAAUUCUGUGUGCACGAUGAAGUUUUUCGGAAUGUAAAGUGCUUUCAGUUGGGAAGAAACAAAUGACGGUACCAACAGAAGAAGUGACGGCUAAAUACGUG
This 467-nucleotide ribosomal RNA is filed under the name uncultured bacterium. RNAcentral describes it as "partial 16S ribosomal RNA". It matches the Rfam family "Bacterial small subunit ribosomal RNA", at positions 28 to 507 of the family's 1533-position model. The record is from RNAcentral.